CCUACGGGUGGCUGCAGUGGGGAAUAUUGCACAAUGGGGGAAACCCUGAUGCAGUGACGCCGCGUGAGUGAAGAAGUAUCUCGGAUUGUAAAGCUCUAUCAGCAGGGAAGAAAAUGACGGUACCUGACUAACACGCACCUGCUAACUACGUCCCAGCAGCCGCGGUAAUACGUAGGGCGCAAGCGUUCUCCGGAUUUAAUGGGUGUACAGGGAGCGUAGACGGCGAUGCAAGUCCGGCGUGAAAGCCCAGGGCUUAACCAUGGGACUGCUGUUGAAACUGUGGAGCUUGAGUGCGUGAGAGGCAGGCGGAAUUCCAGGUGUAGCGGUGAAAUGCGUAGAUAUUAGGAGGAACACCGGCGGCGAAGGCGACCAGCUGGACCGUAACUGACGUUGAGGCUCGAAAGCGUGGGGAGCAAACAGGAUUAGAUACCCGAGUAGUC
RNAcentral lists this ribosomal RNA (440 nucleotides) under uncultured bacterium. RNAcentral's name for it is "partial 16S ribosomal RNA". It matches the Rfam family "Bacterial small subunit ribosomal RNA", at positions 338 to 795 of the family's 1533-position model. The record is from RNAcentral.